This 467-nucleotide ribosomal RNA is filed under the name uncultured bacterium. RNAcentral's name for it is "partial 16S ribosomal RNA". It matches the Rfam family "Bacterial small subunit ribosomal RNA", at positions 28 to 507 of the family's 1533-position model. The record is from RNAcentral.
GAUGAACGCUGGCGGCGUGCUUAACACAUGCAAGUCGAACGGAAAGGCCCAAGCUUGCUUGGGUACUCGAGUGGCGAACGGGUGAGUAACACGUGGGUGGUCUGCCCUGCACUUCGGGAUAAGCCUGGGAAACUGGGUCUAAUACCGGAUAGGACCACAUUUUGGAUGGUGUGGUGGAAAGUUUUUCGGUGUGGGAUGAGCUCGCGGCCUAUCAGCUUGUUGGUGGGGUAAUGGCCUACCAAGGCGUCGACGGGUAGCCGGCCUGAGAGGGUGUACGGCCACAUUGGGACUGAGAUACGGCCCAGACUCCUGCGGGAGGCAGCAGUGGGGAAUAUUGCACAAUGGGCGCAAGCCUGAUGCAGCGACGCCGCGUGGGGGAUGACGGCCUUCGGGUUGUAAACUCCUUUCGCUAGGGACGAAGCGUUUUUGUGACGGUACCUGGAGAAGAAGCACCGGCUAACUACGUG